Molecule: ribosomal RNA, 380 nt
Filed under: uncultured eukaryote
Lineage: Eukaryota
Description: partial 18S ribosomal RNA
Rfam family: Eukaryotic small subunit ribosomal RNA
Source: RNAcentral
CAAUAGCGUAUAUUAAAGUUGUUGCGGUUAAAAAGCUCGUAGUUGGAUUUCUGCCGAGGACGACCGGUCCGCCCUCCGGGUGAGUAUCUGGCUCGGCCUGGGCAUCUUCUUGGAGAACGUAGCUGCACUUGGCUGUGUGGUGCGGUAUUCAGGACUUUUACUUUGAGGAAAUUAGAGUGUUUCAAGCAGGCAUACGCCUUGAAUACAUUAGCAUGGAAUAAUAAGAUAGGACCUCGGUUCUAUUUUGUUGGUUUCUAGAUCUGAGGUAAUGAUUAAUAGGGAUAGUUGGGGGCAUUCGUAUUUAACUGUCAGGGGUGAAAUUCUUGGAUUUGUUAAAGACGGACUACUGCGAAAGCAUUUGCCAAGGAUGUUUUCAUUGA